Molecule: long non-coding RNA, 1183 nt
Organism: Canis lupus familiaris (dog)
Lineage: Eukaryota; Metazoa; Chordata; Mammalia; Carnivora; Canidae
Exons: 3
Source: RefSeq, a predicted model, not a curated record
AGAAAUGGGCAAACAGUUACUUCUGCAUCUUGGUUGGUGUGGGAUCAAAACAGAGUGGAGAAGUAAAUUGACAGAGUCCAAGGUCUGAUUAGGAGAAUAGAACACUUACAAGGAGAACAAAGCAACAAGGUGGGCUUCGGUCAGAUUCUAACAGUGAUGGGCACAUAACCUGGCAUUCAAUAAUUCAGCUUCUUCUGAAUGGUCGAAUCAGCACAUCUAAUAUGAUGGCCACACCAGGAGAGAAGAUAAAAAUCAUACCCUGACUGGGUUGAAUGAGACAAGGGGAGCCAAACUGUAAAGGCAUUCUCUGUGAAGGUAUUGGAGUGACAGCUUAAGGAGGAAAAAGGGAACAAACAGAAAAAGAAUGAGAAGCAAGGAGACCAAAAGAAGUUCAGGUUAAAGCUUACAAAAAUAAUGUUCUAGCUGAGGAUUGACAUACCCAUUAGGUUAUGGGAGCGUCCUCACUGUUAGGAGAUUGCAGCAGACACUAUUGUAUUUUGCAUUGUUCGAGGGAGAAGGAAGAGUCAGUGAAGAGACAAGAGGGUUUAAAGAGCAUACAGAAGGCUGGUUUGGCUGGGAUGGAGUGAGUGAGGGUGCUUACACUGAAUUGUGUCCCCUCAAAUUUCAUAUAUUGCAACCCUGACCUUCGGACAUCAGAAUGUCACUGCAUUUGGAGAUAGAGCCUUUUAAGAAAUGAUUAGGUUAAAAUAAGGCCAUGAGGCUGGGCUCUAAUCCUAUCUGACUCGCAUCCUGAUAAAGAGAAAAUUUGGACCUAAAACAAGAUGCCAGAGGAAAAACCCAUGUGAGGAAUACUGCGAAAAGGUGGCCAUCUACAAGCCAAGGAGAAACACCUCAGAGGAAACCAAACCCAGUGGCACUUAGAUCUUGGAUUUCCAGCUUCUAGAACUGUGAGAAAAUAAAUUUCUGUUGUUUCAGUCACCCGUUCUGUGGCAUUCUGUUAUAGCAGCCCUAGCAAAUUAACAGGGGGAAGAAUGAUAGAUCCAGUCAGCAAAAUAGUAGGAGUUUGAGCAGACAGUGUGGAGGAAAAUUAUGUUGUGGGGCCUUACAGGUCAUUGUAAGGACUUAAGGUUUCAUUCUAGUGAAAUGGGAAGGCUUUAGAGGAUCUGGAGCGGAUGAAUAUUAUAACCCGACUUUUACCUUCAUGGAGAUUAGGAACUGACCG